GGAGAGUUUGAUCCUGGCUCAGGAUGAACGCUGGCGGCGUGCCUAAUACAUGCAAGUCGAACGAGGAGCACCGGGUGUUUACACUUGGUGUUUCCUAGUGGCGAACGGGUGAGUAACGCGUUGGUGACCUGCCCCGAAGUGGGGGAUAACAGCUCGAAAGGGCUGCUAAUACCCCAUGUGCUUACCGGAGUUAGAGGGCCGGUAAGUAAAGGAGCAAUCCGCUUCGGGAGGGGCCUGCGUCCCAUCAGGUAGUUGGUAGGGUAAUGGCCUACCAAGCCGACGACGGGUAGGGGGCCUGAGAGGGUGGCCCCCCACACUGGCACUGAAACACGGGCCAGACACCUACGGGUGGCAGCAGUAGGGAAUAUUG
RNAcentral lists this ribosomal RNA (370 nucleotides) under Anaerolineae bacterium. Its description in RNAcentral is "bacterial SSU rRNA". It matches the Rfam family "Bacterial small subunit ribosomal RNA", at positions 6 to 366 of the family's 1533-position model. Lineage: Bacteria; Bacillati; Chloroflexota; Anaerolineae. The record is from RNAcentral.